UACGGAGGGUGCAAGCGUUGUCCGGAAUGAUUGGGCGUAAAGCGUCCGCAGGUGGCACUUCAAGUCUGGUUUUAAAUACUAGGGCUCAACCCUGGGGCGGGAGUGGAAACUGAAGAGCUAGAGUUCGGUAGGGGUAGAGGGAAUUCCCAGUGUAGCGGUGAAAUGCGUAGAGAUUGGGAAGAACACCGGUGGCGAAAGCGCUCUGCUAGGCCGAAACUGACACUCAUGGACGAAAGCAAGGGGAGCGAAUGGG
RNAcentral lists this ribosomal RNA (253 nucleotides) under uncultured bacterium. RNAcentral's name for it is "partial 16S ribosomal RNA". It matches the Rfam family "Bacterial small subunit ribosomal RNA", at positions 524 to 776 of the family's 1533-position model. The record is from RNAcentral.